Non-coding RNA from Gasterosteus aculeatus aculeatus (three-spined stickleback), 825 nucleotides. The record is from RefSeq and is a predicted model, not a curated record. Lineage: Eukaryota; Metazoa; Chordata; Actinopteri; Perciformes; Gasterosteidae.
UCUGAGGCAAAUUUGUAAUUUGCGAUAAUGGGCUAUACAAAAUAACAUGACUUGACUUGACUUGACUAUGUCGUAAAAAAUACUGCAACCUGCUUCUCUAGCCUACACACACACUCUCAGAAUAAACAGACCAACAGACCAUCACUAUGAGAUAUUAAUUUACACUACAUUUUUAAAAACACAGUCUUUCAAAUUUUAAACCUGUAGAAUUGGAAACAGAUUUUUUAGAUGUAAAAUCAAUAUUCUCAAUACUGCAGUUCACAAAUCUCCCACAUGCUGGUGUGUGCAUACAUACUAAACAUUAUCUUUCAGUAAUCAGGGGGAUAUACGCACACAAAGACCCACUUUCUGCUCAGAGGCCACUUCAAACAAGGCUCUUGAAUUUAGAUGAGCUUCCUAGUCAAAAGGAACACACACGCACAUACUAUUUGCAAUUUAAAAUGUUCUUUUAGAGUGCCAUGUGAUCAUUCCUUUGAUCGGUCAGUCGCUGAAUUGUUCAACCCGUACAUCCAUCUCAUUUGUCGGCUCUUCUGCGAUUACUGUCUUACAGAUCCAACUAAAUGGAUAAAGAUGGGAUCCAGCUGAAAUAAAGACCUGAAUUAAACGGACAAAUUUACGGGCUGCUGUUUGGAUAUCUGGAAAAUUGAUCAGUAUGGCAGGUCCAGUGCAGAAUUCACACAGGCUGUCUGUGAAAACGUGGACAGAGGAUGAGAGUGACAGAGCUGAGAGCACACCAAGCAGGGCACAGUCGAUGUGUGAUGACACUUCAUCGGAGCUUCAGAGGAUGGCGGCCAUUGACCGAAGAGAUAUUAAUUCUCAGAAUUC